AUGGGGAUGCAGGUGCUGAUGAACAUACGUUGCACCAAUUUGAAUAACCCCAUGUGCGACUGGUUUGCAAGGUUAUACCAGCCUGAUAAGAGGGAAUUUGUCAUACCAGGGCAUGGUGGGAUUCCAUUAGACGAGGACCUUGUUUUCAGCACACUUGGUGUCCCCAAUGGCAGCAUGGAUGUCCCAUACAAGGUUGAUACGAAAGUGCAAGCAUGUCUUUUCCCUGAAAUGUUCCCUAGUCUUACGUCCCUACCGGCGAACUCUGCUUUUGUGAAUAUGCUUGUUACGAUCCAAACAAGCGACGAUGACUUCAAGAGGAAAUUGCUCAUGUACUUGAUCUCAAAUGUCUUUGCCCCAACGACAUUGUUACGCCCCAGCAACAGAUGCUUUCCUGUUCUGGAUCAGAUAGGCAACAUUACCAACAUGAACUGGUGCAAGUUCAUAGUUGGUUUCCUUCAUACUUCACUAUCUAAUAAAAUGUACAACCAAGGCUGUCGGUUGCGUCUAAUGGCAAGUUUUUUUUAUGUCAAACCCUUUGCUUUUUCCAUUCUAGGUCGUCCUCCCUCCCCCAGUGUUUUCUUACUCCUUUUUCGCAUUAGAAGCUAA
This 606-nucleotide ribosomal RNA is filed under the name Triticum aestivum (bread wheat). RNAcentral describes it as "partial small subunit ribosomal RNA". Lineage: Eukaryota; Viridiplantae; Streptophyta; Magnoliopsida; Poales; Poaceae. The record is from RNAcentral.